Molecule: long non-coding RNA, 519 nt
Organism: Neodiprion fabricii
Lineage: Eukaryota; Metazoa; Arthropoda; Insecta; Hymenoptera; Diprionidae
Exons: 3
Source: RefSeq, a predicted model, not a curated record
UUAUAGCUUGACAGUUCCUCGAACCGCGUGCUUGAAAAGUUCAUCUCCGCAGGGCCCUCCGAGUUGUAACUGGUUCUAAUUGAGCAGCUUGCCGCGCGUGCUUUUAUUCCCUCCUUAUUAGAAGUGUAAACCUCAACAUUUACACGGGAGACAAAUAAAUCAAACAAUUAGCGAAUUAUCAGUGCGAAGUUACAAUCGUACGGCCCGUAACUUGUAAUAAUCUGUUUCGAUAGAGUAAUCGUUAUUAUUAUAUAAGAUCUCGAAACGAGCCGAGUGAUUAAUAACGAUAAUAUACACCUAUAUACGUGUAAACGCGAUUAAUCGCGAUUUAUACGCAUGCGGACCUGUGUAAUUUUUUAAUCGUCGAUCUAUGAUUUAUUAUACAUUAUACAACCGUAUAUCAAUAAUCAAAUCAAUUAACCAAAUCGACAAUCAACGUUCUUUGCCUAUAUAAUAAUAUCGUCGCGACGUCGUCGUCGUCGUUGGUGGAGCGGCGGCGUUUCGCGCAAGCCUCGACAG